UCUUCGGAGAGCCUGCACAGGUGCUGCAUGGCUGUCGUCAGCUCGUGCCGUGAGGUGUCCGGUUAAGUCCGGUAACGAGCGCAACCCUCGCCAUAUGUUACAAGUGUCAUAUGGGACUGCCGAUAUAAAGUCGGAGGAAGGUGGGGAUGACGUCAAGUCAGCAUGGCCUUUAUAUCCAGGGCUACACACACGCUACAAUGGUCAGUACAAUGGGUUGCCAAGCCGCGAGGCGGAGCCAAUCCUAAAAAGCUGGCCUCAGUUCAGAUUGCAGUCCGAAACUCGACUGCAUGAAGUCGGAGUUGCUAGUAAACGCAGGUCAGCUAUACUGCGUUGAAUACGUUCCCGGGGCUU
RNAcentral lists this ribosomal RNA (351 nucleotides) under uncultured Anaerolineaceae bacterium. RNAcentral's name for it is "bacterial SSU rRNA". It matches the Rfam family "Bacterial small subunit ribosomal RNA", at positions 1017 to 1382 of the family's 1533-position model. Lineage: Bacteria; Bacillati; Chloroflexota; Anaerolineae; Anaerolineales; Anaerolineaceae. The record is from RNAcentral.